GUGCCAGCAGCCGCGGUACUACGGGGGGUGCAAGCGUUGUUCGGAAUUAUUGGGCGUAAAGAGCGUGUAGGCGGCUUGGUAAGUCAGAUGUGAAAGCCCUGGGCUUAACCCAGGAAGUGCAUUUGAAACUGCUAGGCUAGAGUAGGGGAGAGGGAAGUGGAAUUCCUGGUGUAGAGGUGAAAUUCGUAGAUAUCAGGAGGAACACCGGUGGCGAAGGCGACUUCCUGGCCCUAUACUGACGCUGAGACGCGAGAGCGUGGGUAGCAAACAGGAUUAGAUACCCUAGUAGUCC
Molecule: ribosomal RNA, 292 nt
Filed under: uncultured bacterium
Lineage: Bacteria
Description: partial 16S ribosomal RNA
Rfam family: Bacterial small subunit ribosomal RNA
Source: RNAcentral